RNAcentral lists this ribosomal RNA (429 nucleotides) under Chloroflexota bacterium. Its description in RNAcentral is "Chloroflexi bacterium partial 16S ribosomal RNA". It matches the Rfam family "Bacterial small subunit ribosomal RNA", at positions 355 to 776 of the family's 1533-position model. The record is from RNAcentral. Lineage: Bacteria; Bacillati; Chloroflexota.
UGGGGAAUAUUGCACAAUGGGCGCAAGCCUGAUGCAGCCAUGCCGCGUGUGUGAAGAAGGCCUUCGGGUUGUAAAGCACUUUCAGCGGGGAGGAAGGCGAUAAGGUUAAUACCCUUGUCGAUUGACGUUACCCGCAGAAGAAGCACCGGCUAACUCCGUGCCAGCAGCCGCGGUAAUACGGAGGGUGCAAGCGUUAAUCGGAAUUACUGGGCGUAAAGCGCACGCAGGCGGUGUGUCAAGUCGGAUGUGAAAUCCCCGGGCGCAACCUGGGAACUGCAUUCGAGACUGGCAGGCUAGAGUCUUGUAGAGGGGGGUAGAAUUCCAGGUGUAGCGGUGAAAUGCGUAGAGAUCUGGAGGAAUACCGGUGGCGAAGGCGGCCCCCUGGACGAAGACUGACGCUCAGGUGCGAAAGCGUGGGGAGCAAACAGG